This 497-nucleotide ribosomal RNA is filed under the name uncultured bacterium. Its description in RNAcentral is "partial 16S ribosomal RNA". It matches the Rfam family "Bacterial small subunit ribosomal RNA", at positions 28 to 507 of the family's 1533-position model. The record is from RNAcentral.
GAUGAACGCUGGCGGCGUGCCUAAUACAUGCAAGUCGAGCGAACAGACGAGGAGCUUGCUCCUCUGACGUUAGCGGCGGACGGGUGAGUAACACGUGGAUAACCUACCUAUAAGACUUGGAUAACUUCGGGAAACCGGAUCUAAUACCGGAUAAUAUAUUGAACCGCAUGGUUCAAUAGUGAAAGACGGUUUUGCUGUCACUUAUAGAUGGAUCCUCGCCGCAUUAGCUAGUUGGUAAGGUAACGGCUUACCAAGGCAACGAUGCGUAGCCGACCUGAGAGGGUGAUCGGCCAAACUGGAACUGGGACACGGUCCAGACUCCUACGGGAGGCAGCAGUAGGGAAUCUUCCGCAAAGGGCGAAAGCCUGACGGAGCAACGCCGCGUGAGUGAUGAAGGUCUUCGGAUCGUAAAACUCUGUUAUUAGGGAAGAACAAAUGUGUAAGUAACUAUGCACGUCUUGACGGUACCUAAUCAGAAAGCCACGGCUAACUACGUG